Molecule: ribosomal RNA, 502 nt
Filed under: uncultured bacterium
Lineage: Bacteria
Description: partial 16S ribosomal RNA
Rfam family: Bacterial small subunit ribosomal RNA
Source: RNAcentral
GAUUAACGCUGGCGGCGUGCCUAACACAUGCAAGUCGAGCGGCAGCGAGUUUUACACUGAAUUCUGGAAGCUUCUAGUUGAAAGAGAAGAUUUAUUCAAGAAUUUUGUGUAAAAUGUCGGCGAGCGGCGGACGGCUGAGUAACGCGUAGGAACGUACCCCAAAGUGAGGGAUAACGCAUCGAAAGGUGUGCUAAUACCGCAUAUGGUCUUCGGAUUAAAGCCUUCGGGCGCUUUGGGAACGGCCUGCGUAAGAUUAGAUAGUUGGUGGGGUAAUGGCCUACCAAGUCGACGAUCUUUAACUGGUUUGAGAGGAUGAUCAGUCAGACUGGAACUGAGACACGGUCCAGACUCCUACGGGAGGCAGCAGUGAGGAAUCUUCCACAAUGGGCGAAAGCCUGAUGGAGCAACGCCGCGUGCAGGAUGAAGGCCUUCGGGUUGUAAACUGCUUUUAUAAGUGAGGAUUAUGACAGUAACUUAUGAAUAAGGAUCGGCUAACUACGUG